RNAcentral lists this ribosomal RNA (495 nucleotides) under uncultured bacterium. Its description in RNAcentral is "partial 16S ribosomal RNA". It matches the Rfam family "Bacterial small subunit ribosomal RNA", at positions 28 to 507 of the family's 1533-position model. The record is from RNAcentral.
GACGAACGCUGGCGGCGUGCCUAAUACAUGCAAGUCGAGCGCUGAAGGAGGAGCUUGCUUCUCUGGAUGAGUUGCGAACGGGUGAGUAACGCGUAGGUAACCUGCCUGGUAGCGGGGGAUAACUAUUGGAAACGAUAGCUAAUACCGCAUAAUAUUGACUAUUGCAUGAUAGUCAGUUGAAAGGUGCAACUGCACCACUACCAGAUGGACCUGCGUUGUAUUAGCUAGUUGGUGGGGUAACGGCUCACCAAGGCGACGAUACAUAGCCGGCCUGAGAGGGUGAUCGGCCACACUGGGACUGAGACACGGCCCCGACUCCUACGGGGGGCAGCAGUAGGGAAUCUUCGGCGAUGGACGGAAGUCCGACCGAGCAAAGCCGCGUGAGGGAAGAAGGGUUUCGGAUCGUAAAGCUCUGUUUUAAGAGAAGAAAGAGUGUGAGAGUGGAAAGCUCACACUGUGACGGUAUCUUACCAGAAAGGGACGGCUAACUACGUG